GUGGUGGCUCAGUGGCAGAGCACUUGCCUAGCAUGUGUGAGGCACGGGGUUUGAUUCUCAGCACCACA
RNAcentral lists this transfer RNA (68 nucleotides) under Marmota monax (woodchuck). RNAcentral describes it as "tRNA.Ala". The record is from RNAcentral. Lineage: Eukaryota; Metazoa; Chordata; Mammalia; Rodentia; Sciuridae.